RNAcentral lists this long non-coding RNA (342 nucleotides) under Nicotiana benthamiana. RNAcentral's name for it is "long non-coding RNA (NBEN_LNC013152)". Lineage: Eukaryota; Viridiplantae; Streptophyta; Magnoliopsida; Solanales; Solanaceae. The record is from RNAcentral.
CUCUGAUAUUUCUGUUUCAGUUAUUGGAGCACACAGUUCCUGUCUUUGUUGUUGUGUCAGUUUUGGACCAUUGGACAUGUACAAUUGGUUUAUAGCAGGCAGAUUUGUUGCAGCAGUGCCCAUCAGUGCUUUGUAGAAUCCUUGGAUUUCCUCUUUGAUAUAUGUUGGUGUAGUUAUCUUGAUUCCCAGUGCAUUGGUAAUCUCAGUGAUCUGAUUCUGCUGACUUCUGUCCUUCAUUACUGCAGUAAAGUACUUGGUGUUGGAGUCUUCAAGUUGUAUCCACUUUGCUCUUGCCUUCUGUUGCAGGACACUCUCUUCAAUCAGUGACCAUUUUUCCAGUUG